GACGAACGCUGGCGGCGUGCCUAAUACAUGCAAGUCGAACGCUUUGAUUUUCACCGGAGCUUGCUCCACCGAAAAUCAAAGAGUGGCGGACGGGUGAGUAACACGUGGGCAACCUGCCCAACAGAGGGGGAUAACACUUGGAAACAGGUGCUAAUACCGCAUAAUUUGUUUUCCUGCAUGGGAGAAUAAUAAAAGACGCUUCGGUGUCACUGUUGGAUGGGCCCGCGCUGCAUUAGUUAGUUGGUGGGGUAAUGGCCUACCAAGACCGUGAUGCAUAGCCGACCUGAGAGGGUGAUCGGCCACACUGGGACUGAGACACGGCCCAGACUCCUACGGGAGGCAGCAGUAGGGAAUCUUCGGCAAUGGACGAAAGUCUGACCGAGCAACGCCGCGUGAGUGAAGAAGGUUUUCGGAUCGUAAAACUCUGUUGUUAGAGAAGAACAAGUGGGAGAGUAACUGUUCCCACCUUGACGGUAUCUAACCAGAAAGCCACGGCUAACUACGUGCCAGCAGCCGCGGUAAUACGUAGGUGGCAAGCGUUGUCCGGAUUUAUUGGGCGUAAAGCGAGCGCAGGCGGUUUCUUAAGUCUGAUGUGAAAGCCCUCGGCUCAACCGAGGAAGGUCAUUGGAAACUGGGGAACUUGAAUGCAGAAGAGGAGAGUGGAAUUCCAUGUGUAGCGGUGAAAUGCGUAGAUAUAUGGAGGAACACCAGUGGCGAAGGCGACUCUCUGGUCUGUAAUUGACGCUGAGGCUCGAAAGCGUGGGGAGCAAACAGG
RNAcentral lists this ribosomal RNA (775 nucleotides) under uncultured bacterium. Its description in RNAcentral is "bacterial SSU rRNA". It matches the Rfam family "Bacterial small subunit ribosomal RNA", at positions 28 to 776 of the family's 1533-position model. The record is from RNAcentral.